AUAACGGCCCAAUCCCAGUACUAAAUAUUUUUUGUGCAGUUAGUCAGCAUUUACAUUGAGGAGCCAACAUUUCAUCCUUCGCACUGAAUAAUACUAUAAGUUUGACAUUUCAUCAGCUCCACUAUUCCCUAGAUUGUUUGAGCUAAGAUCUCAAUUUCCGGCAAAGUCAUCCUGCACAUUUGCGACGCAUUUUCGUGUCACAAAUAAGAAAGAAGUGGCCGAAACGUCGACAGCAUUUUACACCACACCCUGCAGCCAAGCGUCAUCAAACGCCAAAUUGCCUCUAAAAUCCCCGGAAAUUAGUAAAUGAGGACCUCCGUAAUUAAUUAGCAGGCCCGGCUAUAUGUGGAGACCGGCUCUAAUUGGAAUAGGGCUAUAAAUAGAGGUUUUACGGUAUACAGAGCAAUAACAUUUAUUCUGGCGUCGUAGAUACGUAUUUGCG
Folsomia candida is the source of this 442-nucleotide long non-coding RNA. RefSeq lists it as uncharacterized. Lineage: Eukaryota; Metazoa; Arthropoda; Collembola; Entomobryomorpha; Isotomidae. The record is from RefSeq and is a predicted model, not a curated record. The transcript has 3 exons.